UCAUUUGUAGAUGGCAAAACUGAGGUCC
Molecule: non-coding RNA, 28 nt
Filed under: Mus musculus (house mouse)
Lineage: Eukaryota; Metazoa; Chordata; Mammalia; Rodentia; Muridae
Source: RNAcentral